Molecule: long non-coding RNA, 2995 nt
Filed under: Olea europaea (common olive)
Lineage: Eukaryota; Viridiplantae; Streptophyta; Magnoliopsida; Lamiales; Oleaceae
Description: long non-coding RNA (OEUR_LNC007581)
Source: RNAcentral
GGGCCAAUGGAAAUGUGACAUUAGAGACCGUUUCCAGAUUCUUCCAUACCAGUACCUUAAGAAAAGGUGAAAACGACAUUAAUAGUGUUUCAAACCCAAUAUUUUCAGCAAGAAAAUCCAUUCCUGGGGACGAUCACAUACCAAAAUUCCUAUUUCCGGAACGGAACCAGAAAAAAUGCUAGUCUAUGUAGUAGAUGAUUCCCCCUUCCUCUUCUUCUACUACCUCAUAAUCUUCGUUUUCGUUCUCAUUCUCUUCCGUUUCGCCAUCGUCUUUUUGUUCCUUUUACUACUUUUUGCCCUGUGCUCCGACCUCGUUUACCUCUUAACUUCUCUCGUAUGCCCCCCCUAAUCGUGUUCUUUCGCGUUAUAUGUCUUAUUUUGCAUGUAUAGUUUAUGGGUGUGUUAAUUUGUCUGAUAAAGGUGCAGGGGGUGUUUGAACAGAAACUGGGAGAGUGGACCAUGCCAGAUGCCACGGACUCGGUUUUGGUUCUGUUAACGACGUCGUUGAACUUAUACCAACUGUUUGAUGAAAAGUCUCAUUAGGAAAGCUUAAGGGAAGAGCUGGAUUAGUAAUAAUAGAGUUGCUAUUAUCAGUAUCAUGUGAUCUUCUUUUUUAUUUUUUGCACGUUAUGAAUAAAUUCUUGUAUAUUAUUACUUUCUGAAUUCUAUAUGUAUUCGAUUAAUAAUUUUUCUAUAAAUGUUACCUAUGUGUUGAAAAUAUUGCUUAUGUUCCCAAAUGGUUUCAUUAUAUAUAAGCAGGUUCUGUCUAAAUUAAUAGUAGAUCUCAUGAUCUUUUGUUUAUAUGAUUGGAAUUAGCUAUUUUGAGUCCCCUGUUCGUUGACUUUUGAGAAUGAGAUAGAGAGUAAUAUGGUAAUAAAUGAUCGUGGUAAUAUUUCAAACUCCCUCAAUAUGUUGAGAAUUCUACAAGUAUUCCUUCAGUUUCGGUGGUAAAACAAUUGUUCGAAAUCAGGGGACAAUUGGAUUUCUAAAUUAUGGUGUGGUGGUGCCACGGUGUCUGAUAUUCUUCUGUUUGAGAUUCACCAUCACCUUGUUAAUGCCUAAAAUGUAUGCAAACUGCCAAUAAUGAAUCUAGCAUUUAAUUGAUUAAAGUGUUUUUAUCUUGUAUAAAUUUUGCUUACUUUCGCACUUUCAAGAUUACUUGCCGAAAAUACUAUAUGACAGAGGAUGUGAAUACAUAGUUUCCGGCUCUCGUAUUGAUUUAUUGUUUCUUUGUUCUUUCUUAAAGCAUUCUUCUGUCAUGUCUUGAUUUUCUGCAUCUUUAGGAUGGUGGUGUAUGUAUUUGAUUCCUAUUUUCUCUGUAAUUGAUAUCCUAGAAGUUUACAUGCUUGUCUAUCAUGUCUUGAUUUUCUGCAUCUUUAGGAUGGUGGUGUAUGUAUUUGAUUCCUAUUUUCUCUGUAAUUGAUAUCCUAGAAGUUUACAUGCUUGUCUAUCAUGUCUUGAUUUUCUGCAUCUUUAGGAUGGUGGUGUAUGUAUUUGAUUCCUAUUUUCUCUGUAAUUGAUAUCCUAGAAGUUUACAUGCUUGUCUAUCAUGUCUUGAUUUUCUGCAUCUUUAGGAUGGUGGUGUAUGUAUUUGAUUCCUAUUUUCUCUGUAAUUGAUAUCCUAGAAGUUUAUAUGCUUGUGAUAUUUAUAUUUCUUAAUAUUCCUGAAUCACAAAUGUGUAUUUUCCGGUAAUUCAUGUCUUGUCAAUGGCUCCUUCCCUGCAUAACAUGUGCUAGUUGUAGUGUCCAUGUUUUUGUGCUUUUCAAUUUGCUUAAAUAGUAUCCCAUAAUGUGAACAUUUGUAAUUGAAGACAUUUCGACAUAGUUAACCUAUAAUAUUUUCCUUUUGAAUUCGGUUUUUUAGUUAUGAAAUGGUCUUUUAUGGUUUGCCACCAUCCAAUUUACUUGACAAUUGAAUAAAAGCUGGAAGUUACAAAUCAGAAAUUUUUAAUUCCAAGGCACAUGCAUUUAGAUUGUAUAUACUUUUUGGUAUCUGAUGUUUUGUUUCCUGCAAAAGCGAGUAUAAAUUUCGAUGCAGUCAGUUUCUUUUGUACUAGAUUUUAUAUCUUGUCAGCUUCGUAUAUGUGCAAUCAAACAUUGAUGAUGAAAAGAUGUCUACUAAUCCAUAAUCCUGUGAAGAGAAAACUGAGAAAAAUCCUCACAUGCAUUGAUGAUAUUUUUGAUGAAGAUGGGUUUUCAUUGCCAUAAAAUCUACCAGACGUUGUGAGGGAGGGACACUUUGCGGUACAUACAUUCGAUGAUCGUCAAUCGAGGAGGUCUGUAAUAGAGUUAAGUUGCUUAGCCCAUAUGGGUUUUCUGAAACUGUUACAGCAAGCAGAGGAAGAAUUCGGGUUCAGACAAAAGGGUAUUCUUGCUGUCCCUUGUGGUUAUGGUGACCUUCAAAGACUUCUUGAAAGCAAGAAGGAAAAUUUUGGAUGGUGAUCAAUUGUCUGUUGUCUUACUGUCGUGCAGUUGGUUGCAUCUGUUUGCUAUAUAGUAUUCUUGGAUAGAGACUUGUAACUUUAAUGGAUUGUCAAUGUUGUAUGGAAAGAAUCUAUGAUUAUUUGAAUUAUUUUACACUACAGAAAUGGUUUUAAAAAUAGAUUAAACCAGGCGCUAGUGAGUUAGUUCACGCAGUUCGAAGCUUUGGAAGGAUGGUCCUUCACUUUAUCUUCAAUCUUGAGCCACUAAAAAUUGGACAUUUGGGAGUUAACGUAUAGGGCCUGUUUGAUUGUCAAGGAUCUUUUCCAUUUUUCAAUAUUUGUGGUGUUUGACAAGAUAAAUUUUUCAAGGAAAACUAUUUCCAUGAACCUUGGUCACUUUUUCCACCAUUUCAUGGUACUGGUGAGAAUUCAAAUUCCAUGUUAAUGUAGCGAGUUUUUAAAUUUUUUUUCAUUUUUUUAUUUUAUUAUUUGCCAUAGAAACAAAUUUUGUCCCUAAUUUUUAAAAAAUAUUUUCAUUUAAUUGACAAUUUUCAUGUAAAACAAAGUCAAAU